UACUGCUAUGCUAGUACCCUAAAUGUGUUUGAUCUCUUCUGAUCUCAGAAGCUAAGUAGAGUUGAGCCUGGUUAGUACUUGGAUGGGAGAAAUAGAAACCAGUUCUUUUCUGGAG
This 115-nucleotide ribosomal RNA is filed under the name Jaculus jaculus (lesser Egyptian jerboa). Lineage: Eukaryota; Metazoa; Chordata; Mammalia; Rodentia; Dipodidae. The record is from RNAcentral.